Molecule: non-coding RNA, 422 nt
Organism: Pelodiscus sinensis (Chinese soft-shelled turtle)
Lineage: Eukaryota; Metazoa; Chordata; Testudines; Trionychidae
Source: RefSeq, a predicted model, not a curated record
GCGGGACCCCAGCCACGGGCUACAUCAAAGGCUGCCUGCCCAACUACAACAGCGGCAUCAAGGGGCCCCUCACGCUCACCGUGGGGCGCGGGCUGUACCUGCGGCUCAACACCUCGCGAUGCAACGCCACGGAGAAGUGCAACACCGCUCUGCUGGCUGUGCCCCAGGAGAACAGCACCUUGAAUGGGCUGCAGUGCCCGGCCUGCCUGGCUCGGAAGGCCAGGGCCUGCACCGGCCAAGCCAUCCUCUGCACCGGGGAGGAGACCUACUGCAUCGACUUCACUGGGGAGAUCAUUAAAGGAUCAAGCCUUUCCCCGUUCGCUGCCAAGGGCUGCGCCUCGGCGUCUGCGCAGGACAUUGAAUCCGGAACCUUCCUGACAGCCGGGAACUCCAGAUACCUCUUUGGUCAGGCGACCCGGCCA